UACGGAGGGUGCAAGCGUUAUCCGGAUUCACUGGGCUUAAAGGGUGCGUAGGUGGGCAGGUACGUCAGUGGUGAAAUCUCUGGGCUUAACUCAGAAACUGCCAUUGAUACUAUCUGUCUUGAAUACCGUGGAGGUCAGCGGAAUAUGUCAUGUAGCGGUGAAAUGCUUAGAUAUGACAUAGAACACCAAUUGCGAAGGCAGCUGGCUACACGAAUAUUGACACUGAUGCACGAAAGCGUGGGGAUCAAACAGG
Molecule: ribosomal RNA, 253 nt
Filed under: uncultured bacterium
Lineage: Bacteria
Description: partial 16S ribosomal RNA
Rfam family: Bacterial small subunit ribosomal RNA
Source: RNAcentral